GAUAAAAUUAUUUAUGAUAAUUUUAUGACGAUUGAAAGCGAACAUUUUGCCGACAAGGUAAUGACGUCACUUCGAAAAGAACAGAAAAAAGAAAAAUAAACUAAAGAAAAAUAAAAGAAAAUUUAUUAGAUGAUAAAUAUAAGGUAAAAGAAUUAGUGAAUAAAUCUGGAGUUGAAUUCAUGAAUCCCUGUCUUAUUUACAUGAAUUCAGGCAACCAGUUAUACUCUUAACUCUACACUGUGAUUAUUAACUUAAAUUGCAUUUCAUAACAGUCAAACUCCAGAUUUAUUCACUAAUUCUUUUACCUUAUAUUUAUCAUCUAAUAAAUUUCCUUUUAUUUUUCUUUAGUUUAUUUUUCUUUUUUCUGUUCUUUUCGAAGUGACGUCAUUACCUUGUUGGCAAAAUUUUCGCUUUCGAUCGUCAUAAAAUUAUCAUAAAUAAUUUUAUGUUACUAUUAAUUCAAAUUGUUUAUUCUCACUCAUUUAUUUAAUAGCUAAUUAAAUUCAUUUAUUUAAGUAAAAAAUAUUUUUUGCAUUUCUAAAAUACAAAAUAUCUGCAUACACAUAAAAUUCCCUACCUAGAACGUCUUGUCAAUAUUCGUUCAAUGUCAUAUUUCAGUCUGUCAGUUUGAAGCCAAGAUGAAGACCACAUUGUAUACUACAUUCGCUCUCGCGAGAUUUUUUUUUGACACAGACGUUAGUAAUUUCUUUUUUGAAAAAUUCAGUUGUCAGAAGUGACUGGAAAUUACUACAAAACCAACGCACCUGCUCAUAUCCAAUAUUAUUAAUAGUAAACAGACAUAAAAAUAACAUAAACCUUACGCCAAUCAAUAUUUAUUUAUUUAAACCAUUAUAAUGUAUUGAUAGCAAAUGAGAAAAUUAUUUAUUGUACAAAAUAAAAAUAUUUUGUAGAAAUAAACUUCACAAAAUUUUAUGAGAUUAGUAGACACUCCCACUAUUUCUAAUAAUUCUUCUUUUUUUAAUGAAAGAUUAAGUUGAUUUGAGUUGAUUUUAGCAGUUAAUAGUGUGAGGUAGGAAUUUUUGUGUUGUACGUUUCCUAUUCCGAAUGUCUCAAAAAGAAUCUCGCGAGAGCGAAUGUAGUAUAGUACCACUACAUUUCUAAAUUCUUUAAACAUCGACUUAUUGUCGACAUUGUUGUAGCCGAAAUGGCCUAAUUAUUGUAAUUUUAAGGUCUUUUGACCUAACUAUGUAGCUAGUUCCAACUACUUUGGAUCUAAAGUUUUCUACCUGAUGAUGGACUGAUUGGUCCGAAAACGUUUGUGUGAUUUUUGUACUAUAGAUGUACCCACUUCAAUCCAAUUUGAUCAUUUUAGAUAAAAAUUUUAAUAAAUUUAUAUACCAUUUACCUACCAAGUGAAGUUUUACCUACUUCCUUAGUAAGCAUAUAUUUUUGUUUUCAUCCUAAAAGUAGCCCGUUGACACAAUUAUUCUGUCUUUGAUACAUUCAAAAGUUAAAUUUUUGAAACCUGAUACAGAACUUGUAAAGCAGCUUUAAUAUAUGAUGAAGUAUCUUAGAAAUUUUAAGUAUAACAAUUGUACUGAAUCUUUUAAUUUGAACAUGGCAUGUCAUGUUUGAAAGUUGUCUCUAUACACUGUGCCUAAUGAUUUAGACUGAUGCACGCUGUGCAUUUGUUUUUUAUGAUUAUACUGUUUUAUCUGUGUGAUCCGAAAAGUGGGCGUCUGUUGAUAGCGACGUCAAUAAAAAUCAUCAAUACAAUAUUUA
RNAcentral lists this long non-coding RNA (1743 nucleotides) under Diabrotica virgifera virgifera (western corn rootworm). RNAcentral's name for it is "uncharacterized LOC126878997". Lineage: Eukaryota; Metazoa; Arthropoda; Insecta; Coleoptera; Chrysomelidae. The record is from RNAcentral.